This 677-nucleotide ribosomal RNA is filed under the name uncultured Vibrionaceae bacterium. RNAcentral's name for it is "bacterial SSU rRNA". It matches the Rfam family "Bacterial small subunit ribosomal RNA", at positions 1 to 671 of the family's 1533-position model. Lineage: Bacteria; Pseudomonadati; Pseudomonadota; Gammaproteobacteria; Vibrionales; Vibrionaceae. The record is from RNAcentral.
UAGAGUUUGAUCAUGGCUCAGAUUGAACGCUGGCGGCAGGCUUAACACAUGCAAGUCGAGCGGAAACGAGAAAUAGCUUGCUAUUUCGGCGUCGAGCGGCGGACAGGUGAGUAAUGCUUGGGAAUAUGCCUUUGAGUGGGGGACAACAGUUGGAAACGACUGCUAAUACCGCAUAACGUCUACGGACCAAAGGGGGGGAUGCUUCGGCACCUCUCGCUCAUAGAUUAGCCCAAGUGAGAUUAGCUAGUUGGUAAGGUAAGAGCUUACCAAGGCGACGAUCUCUAGCUGGUUUGAGAGGAUGAUCAGCCACACUGGGACUGAGACACGGCCCAGACUCCUACGGGAGGCAGAAGUGGGGAAUAUUGCACAAUGGGGGAAACCCUGAUGCAGCCAUGCCGCGUGUGUGAAGAAGGCCUUCGGGUUGUAAAGCACUUUCAGUUGUGAGGAAAGGGAUGUAGUUAAUAGCUGCAUUCUGUGACGUUAGCAACAGAAGAAGGACCGGCUAACUCCAUGCCAGCAGCCGCGGUAAUACGGAGGGUCCGAGCGUUAAUCGGAAUUACUGGGCGUAAAGCGUGCGUAGGCGGUUUGUUAAGCGAGAUGUGAAAUCCCGGGGCUCAACCUCGGAACUGCAUUUCGAACUGGCAGGCUAGAAUACUGUAGAGGGGGGUAGAAUUUCA